This 29-nucleotide non-coding RNA is filed under the name Homo sapiens (human). The record is from RNAcentral. Lineage: Eukaryota; Metazoa; Chordata; Mammalia; Primates; Hominidae.
UGGGAUUACAGGCAUGAGCCACCGCGCCU